UGAGUAGUAUUAGUUAUGUUCUUGAAACUUAAAGAAUUUGGCGGUAUCUCAUUCCGUCCAGAGGAAUCUGUCCCGUUAUCGAUAGUCCACGUUGGACCUUACUUAAUUGAUUUUGGUUUGUAUACCGCCGUUUAUUGUUUAUCUUUUUAGAGGUGUUAAUUUUCUGGUUUCUUUAUUUUGAUAUAUUUCAGGUCAAGGUGCAGCUUGUUUUUAAGUGGAAUGAUGGAUUACAUUGUUAUUUGUUUAUGGAUUAUUAGUUUUAAUAUUGAUAUGAAAUUGGAUUUGGUUGUAAUAAUUUGUAGAUUAUUAUUAUGAUAAUUGGUUCUGGGAUAUGCACACAUCGCCCGU
RNAcentral lists this ribosomal RNA (348 nucleotides) under Trinervitermes bettonianus. Its description in RNAcentral is "partial 12S ribosomal RNA". The record is from RNAcentral. Lineage: Eukaryota; Metazoa; Arthropoda; Insecta; Blattodea; Termitidae.